Molecule: ribosomal RNA, 253 nt
Filed under: uncultured bacterium
Lineage: Bacteria
Description: partial 16S ribosomal RNA
Rfam family: Bacterial small subunit ribosomal RNA
Source: RNAcentral
GACAGAGGGUGCAAACGUUGCUCGGAAUUACUGGGCGUAAAGCGCGUGUAGGUGGAUUGGUGUGUCAGAUGUGAAAUCCCUGGGCUCAACCCAGGAACUGCACCUGAAACUACCAGUCUUGAGUGGUGGAGAGGGAAGUGGAAUUCCUGGUGUAGAGGUGAAAUGCGCAGAUAUCAGGAGGAACACCGGUGGCGAAGGCGGCCCGCUGGGCUGUGGCUGACGCUGAGGCGCGACAGCGUGGGGAGCAAACAGG